Molecule: ribosomal RNA, 253 nt
Filed under: uncultured bacterium
Lineage: Bacteria
Description: partial 16S ribosomal RNA
Rfam family: Bacterial small subunit ribosomal RNA
Source: RNAcentral
UACGUAGGGUGCAAGCGUUGUCCGGAAUUAUUGGGCGUAAAGAGCUCGUAGGCGGUCUGUCGCGUCGGCUGUGAAAACUUGGGGCUCAACCCCAAGCCUGCAGUCGAUACGGGCAGACUAGAGUGCGGUAGGGGAGACUGGAAUUCCUGGUGUAGCGGUGAAAUGCGCAGAUAUCAGGAGGAACACCGAUGGCGAAGGCGGGUCUCUGGGCCGUAACUGACGCUGAGGAGCGAAAGCGUGGGGAGCAAACAGG